GACGAACGCUGGCGGCGUGCUUAACACAUGCAAGUCGAGCGGAAAGGCUCCUUCGGGGGUACUCGAGCGGCGAACGGGUGAGUAACACGUGAGUAAUCUGCCUCUGGCUUCGGGAUAGCCCUCCGAAAGGGGGAUUAAUACCGGAUAUGACCAGCUACUGCAUGGUGGUUGGUGGAAAGUUUUUUCGGCCAGGGAUGUGCUCGCGGCCUAUCAGCUUGAUGGUGGGGUAAUGGCCUACCAUGGCUUCGACGGGUAGCCGGCCUGAGAGGGUGACCGGUCACACUGGGACUGAGACACGGCCCAGACUCCUACGGGAGGCAGCAGUGGGGAAUAUUGGACAAUGGGCGGAAGCCUGAUCCAGCAACGCCGCGUGAGGGAUGACUGCCUUCGGGUUGUAAACCUCUUUCAGUACCGACGAAGCGAAAGUGACGGUAGGUACAGAAGAAGCACCGGCCAACUACGUGCCAGCCGCCGCCGUAA
RNAcentral lists this ribosomal RNA (480 nucleotides) under uncultured bacterium. RNAcentral describes it as "partial 16S ribosomal RNA". It matches the Rfam family "Bacterial small subunit ribosomal RNA", at positions 28 to 523 of the family's 1533-position model. The record is from RNAcentral.